AUUGCUUGAGUCCAGGAGGUUGAGGCUGCAGUGAGCCCUGAUCCUGCCACUGCACUCCAGCCUGGGUGACACAGCAAGACUCUGUCUCCAUAAACAAACAAAAAAAAAAUGAGGGAAACUGAGUAUUAGAGACAUCAAUAUUUUUCUAAGAAAACCUAAAAUUGUCUGCUAGUAUGGAAACUCAAGUUUGCUUCAUAGCAGGGUGUGCUGAGACUCUUAGUUUUGAGUUUCUCUUGUACUUGCAGAGCCGGCCUUUUCUUUUUAAACUGUCCAUCAUGACAUGUACACCCUGCCUCUUGGGGUAAUUAGGUGGACCCUUUUGGCCAGGGAAAUGCUUGUCCAAGAAAAAACAAACAUUGAUCUCUUAUCUGGGUGCCCUUCUCUGGAUAACAUGCCCAAAUGAUAUGUUACUGUGUCUCUAUUUCUUGUUCACCUCUUUAAUGCCAACAACAAAGAAUCAAUUGCCUUUUGCAAUUAGUCCCAGACAUUUGCUACCUUUAAUGAGUUAUACAGUCCACCCAGUAUCUCACUUUCCUCAACAUGUCCUGCUUUGUUAGCAAUUGAAAGUGACUCUAGCCCCUGCCCAGGCCAGGCAUUGCCCAUUCUGAAGGGCAAGAACAACUUAGAACUGAGACAUUCAGAGCAAUUCUCAGGUACCCAGUUUGGAGAGGAAGGCUGAGUGCUGAAUGCUUUCUGAGCAGCAGCUCACCAGUCCCCGAGUGUCUCUCCGGCUAUGUGCUGAAGGUCAGAUGCUGGGGCCACUGUGGUGACUAUGCCAAGCACAGCAGUGGCAGGAAUGGCAGUGUCCUCAGAGGCCAGUGCUGCCUGACUGCCUACACUGUGCCCUUGCUGGGAAAUGUAAUAGCUCACCCUUAGUGUUAGUAAUGGUGAUGCAAGAUUUUUUGCUCCUUAGUUCAGCUAAAUCUGGGUUCUUGUCUCACAGCCAGGAAAAAUUAGGUGCGAGGGCACAUUGAAGGGUGAGGAGGGCAGAAUUUACUAAGCAAAAAGAAAGCUCUCACCAAAAAAGGUGGGGGGCGGGGUACCACCAGUAGGCUCCCACUUCACAAAUUGAAUACCAGGUCACCACAAACAAGCUGAAGAGACCAGGCCCCUCCCCUGGAUAAGGCAUGAAUUCCUGGUGACUCUGCCCCAUUCCCUCAGUGCACAUAUGGGCCCUUAGUCUGAACCAUUCCAUAUUGACUUAUUUCCCAUAUUAUGCACGUGUUAAGGGAAAGAAUUUUUCACUGUGGGCGUGUUUAGGUAAGCCCCCUGAGCGCAAUGACCUGGACAGGUCAGAGGUUCUCUGGUACCCUUCCCUAUCUGCCUAGGCAUUUGGCUAUCUCCUACCUCUAUCAAUAGGAGGCAGGAAUUGAUGGGUUUACUUCUAGCAACCAAAAUGGCAAGGCUUCUCACGUGUUCUUGGAAAAUCAAGAACAGAAAUCUCUUAAAUAGCUGACAUACAGGCAUAGCAAGUUGAACAAGAUAUUGAUCAGAACCAGAGUAGCAACCGUAUCAUAAACUGCAGGUACUGCCUGUAUUUUGUGAUAAGCUGCUUAUCUGAGACCUCUUGAUGAACAGCAGGCAAAGUUUUAUCAACAUGCCAAACACCUGAAUGAUAGGCACAACUACAGCUUUCCUACUGUUUCAGUGUGUUAGAUAACUGAAAAGCCCCACAGCACAGUGGCUCAAAUAACAACUUAUUUUUUUUUCUUUUUCCUCACAGUGUUGUGGGUUGGCUGAGCUGAGCUGAGAGUUUCUUCUGGUAGUCUUGCUUGGGGCAUCUCAUGAGGCCACAGUCAGAUGGCAGCAUGGCUGUGACUGGACAGUCAAGAUGACCUCCCAUCCUCCACAGCUGGAGGCUUCAAACCAAAGGCCCCUGUGCCGGUCCAACCCAUGCUCAGUUUUUGUCAUUUUUACACUUUCAGUAAUUAAAUUGCUUUUCCAUUUUGUAAUAGUUGAAAAAUAAUUCAAAACAAAAAUAUUUUGUGAUACGUGAAAAUUAUAUGAAAUUCAAAUUUCAGUGUCCACAAAGUUUUACUGGAACAUAACCACAACCACGCUUAUUCACUUAUGUAUAAUUUACAGCUCCUUUUGCACUACAGUGGCAGUGCUGAGUGGUUGUGACAAUCACAGAGACCACAUGGCCCACAAAGCCAAAAAUACUUACUAUCUGGGCCUUUAGAAAUUCUACUGGCCCCUUCUCCAGAGCCUCUGUCCAUCAUAGUCAUCUCUUUUUUUUUUUUUGAGAUGGAGUUUUGCUCGUCGCCCAGGCUGGAAAAGAAUGUUGCGAUCUCGGCUCACUGCAAACUCUGCCUCCUGAAUUCAAGAAAUUCUCCAACUCAGCCUCUUGAGUAGCAAGGAUUAGAGCAUACCAGAAGAGUCGGAUGACACGUGGACUUGAAGGAUGAGUGCAAGGUUUUAUUGAGCGGUGGAGGCUCUCAGCAAGACGGAUGCAGAACCAGAAGUGGGGCACGGAAUGAGAAGGCGCUCUUCCUCUGGAGUCCUGCCGUUCUUGUUUGACAUUGAGAUGCCUCUUCCCUUCUCUGCCGUGCCGCCCUGCCACUCCCACUCUUUGUCACUCUCUUUCUCUGCUCCUCUCAAUGUUCAGCCACUUGUGUCUGUGCCUGCUAAGGUCUCAGGUUUAUAUGGCCAUGGGAUGGGGGCAUGGCAGGCCAGAGUGGUCUUGGGAAAUGCAACAUUUGGGUGCAAAAACAAGAAUCCCUGUUCUCACUUAGGUCUGUGGGCACAGGCCCAAGGGUGGAGCCCUCGCCUGGGACCCCACUCUUCUCUACCCAGCACUUCCCUGCCUCCCUCCAGUAUCAGUCAGUAGUAGAGUCUUGUGAUAGGCUGGAUAAUGGCCCCCCAAGAUAUCCAUGUGCUAAUUCCCAGGAUUUGUUGAUGUUGUCUUAUGUGGCGAAAGGAACUUUGCAGGGGUGCUUAAGUUGAGCAUUCUGAGAUGGAGAGAUCAACCUGAAUUACCUGGAUGGGCUCAGAAUGUAAUCACAGGUGUCCUUACAAGAGGAACGCUUGCUUACAGAAGAAGAAAUAGGAGAUGUGAUGAUGGAAGCAACAGGUUAGAGAGAUUCAAGAAAAGCAUAGCCAGCCAAGGGAAUGCAGGCAGCCUCCAGAAGCUAAAAAAAUAAAAAUAAAAAUAAAAAAAAGCAAGAGAACGAUUCCCCCUAGAGCUUCCAGAAGGAACUAGCCAUGCCACCACCUUGUCAUUAUCCCAGUGAGACAGAUUUCAAACUUCUGGACUCAAGAACUGUAAGGGUAAGAACUGUAAAAUAAAUUUAUGCUGUUUUAAGCCACAAAAUUUGUGGCACUUUUUUACAGCAGCAACAGGAAAUUAAUAAAAGUCUUCCAGUGCUAGGGGUUGAAUCUCAUCACAUUUCUAAGGCAAGCACUGCUUAGUAUCUUGCUUAUUUAAAAGAUAAACUUAGCUAGUAUAAACAAUAGUGACCAACUAGAUUGUAUGCUAUAAUACUUGUAACUAGAUGUAAGAAAAAUGAUUGCACACUCUUUGUUUUCUUGUUUGUUUUGAGACAGAGUCUCACUCUGUUGCCCAGGCUAGAGUGCAGUGGCACAAUCUUGGCUCACUGCAACCUCCACCUCUCCGGUUCAAGCUCUUCUUGUGCCUCAGCCUCCUGAGUAGCUGGGACUACAGGCACACACCACCACACCCAGCUAACUUUUGCGUUUUUAGUAGAGACAGGGUUUUGCCAUUUUGGCCAGACUAGUCUCCAGCUCCUGACCUCAGCUGAUCCACCCACCUCGGCCUCGCAAAGUGCUGGGAUUAUAGGCAUGAGCCACUGCACCCAGCCAAUUGCAUACCCUGGAUCAAAAAACCAUUUCCCUCAAGUUAGAAUAUGUGAUAUUUAUUGUACAUUGAGUGCCCUCUGCUGCUUACCCAAAGCUUUCUAAACCUUAACCAAACUCGUAAAGCUUAUAAGCAGUGGGACAAUUUGGAGCCUUAAACUCCCAAAUUCUGAAAUGUCUUCCGACACGAUUUUCCACAGCAAUCUGUAGCGUGUCUGGAGCAAGGAUGGGGGGAUCAUGAUUCAGGGGUCCCCAAGGAGGGUCUAUCAUAGACUGUUGCUUUUUAAAGUAACCAGUAGCAAUGCUUUAAACUGUCAUUGCAGAUUUAAGAACCUGUGGUCCAAAUGUCUCAGUUUAGUAUGUAAAACCCUUUACCUCCAAGCUCCUGCCGAUUUCUGCCUCUCUCCUUUACUUCAAGCCAUCAUGAUUUACAUGGUAUAAUGCUAAUGGAUCAUUGUUUCACAGAAGUUCUUUCCAUCCUUUUAGUUCUUUUCCACUCCUGCAGCAAGAUGAAGAGCUCUCUCUUGUCCUUCAGCACUGAGCUUUGUAUUUCCUUUUUAUGCCAAACCAGGAAAAACAAAUAGUAACUUUGCCAACUUUUGUUUGCAAACGCCUUUCAUAGUAAUCUAUAAUCUCACCAACUCCUUUAGAAAACAAUCAUCAAUGUAACAUUUUUUUCAUCAUGUAUGAAAGAAAUGAUUUUAAGUUUAAAAUAUUUUAUUGUAUAUCAACAUGUUUUAAACAUUGUACUAUAAUCAUUUCAGUAUACCUUUAAAUAUUUUAUUAAGACAAAUUUCACUUUCCACAGUCAUGUAGUGAUGGGCUCUAUUUAAUUUGUUUUAAAAUAACUGAGUCAAGAAAAGCAAGUGUGUGAACAAUGAAUUGUAAAAUGGUAUAAUAUUUAGCUUGAAGACUGAAUGUAUAAGAAAGUAUAUACUAUUAUGGCAUCAGAAAAGACAAAACACUUUUACAGUAUGAUGUUUGGAAUAUUUGAAAUUAAACAUCAGUGGAUCAUUUUGAUAAUAUUUAUGUAUUUAUUUUUUGAGAUGAAGUCUCGCUCUGUCGCCCAGGCUGGAGUGCAAUGGCAAGAUCUCGUCUCACUGCCACCUCAACCUCCCAGUUUCAAACGAUUCUCCUGCCUCAGCCUCCUGAGUAGCUGGGAUUACAGGUGCCUUCCACCAUGCCCGGCUAAUUUUUGUAUUUUUAGCAGAGACAGGGUUUCACCAUGUUGGCCAGGCUGGUCUCGAACUCCUGACCUCAGGUGAUCUACUCACCUUGGCCUCCCAAAGUGCUGGGAUUACAGGCAUGAACCACCGCUCCUGGCCUAUUUUGAUAAUUUUUAGGCUUUUCCUUCCUAAAUGAUGAGACUAGAGAGAAGUUAGCCUGACACUUGCAAGCGUUCUCUCCAAAUAACACAUUGCAGGUGUGAAUUCUGUUUGGCUUAAAAACCAAACUGAAUAUAAUUUUCCUUAUAUUUACUCCAUUUAACAUUGGCAUUUAGAUGAAGAGUCAUUCUGAGGCCAUACCUAACAUUUUUAUCAGAUGCAUGCAAAUAAUGGAACCAUCAGUCAUCAUGCAGAGGUAAACUUUCAGAAUUAGUGUCUUUUUGUUAACUUGGUCUUAUAACAUCAAAAUUCUUUAUGCUUGUCAUACUCAAAUUCACAUUAUGAAAACAAAUUAAAUGCUUAGAAUAAAAGCAAUUUUAACUGUUUAACUGCUAAAGCUACUUUUCCAUGCUACUGCUAUGCAGCUGGAUAACUAUUUCCAAACUGAAACACAAGUGCGCUUUUCUGAUCCCUAUCUGCUGUGCAUGGUCACAUGAUAUGCAAUUGGAGGCUUGCAAUGCAUUUUAUUUUGAAAGGGAGAAGCUAAAUACUUACUGAUAUUUUUAAAGGAAGAGUUAAAAACAACUACCAUUUCUGCCUUUACAAUGUGAUCCCCAAAAGCCUUUCUAAACAAACAGUAGCUGGCAAAUGCUGAAAAUGAAUAAACAGAAUCCCUGUCCUUAAACACGUCCCAGGCUGGCAGAGAGAAGGAUAAGUAAACAGGGUGGUGCAGGAACUGAUACGGACCAUCGAUGGGCACAAAGUAUUAUGGGAACACAGAGAGGAGGUACUAACCUGCUUUAGAAUGCCCAGGAUGAUUUACUAAGAGAACCGACAUGAAGGAUGGCAACUUCGAUCGGCCCAGAAGCCUUCCCUGGUACUUACCCAGGGUCUGAUGUAGAUGUCACUCGGUGGUCCCAGCAGCUUGUCACAGCUGACAGCACACUGCUUAUUGGUUUACUUGUUCAUCUUUCUCCACAAAACGGUAAGCUCCUCAAAAGCAAGGACUUUGUCAUUGCAUCUACAGUGCCUGCUGAUACAUAAGAACUAUCUGAUAAGUAAAUAUAAGCAGUCUAUGAUGAAAAUACUUCUCUAAGACAGGCUGAUGUUUGAAGACAGUAUUUUUAUGUCUAUACCACGAUAUGUUUAAAGAAUGUGUAUUCGUGUUUGAAAUGCCAAUGCCAAAUAUUAGGUGCAAGCACAGGGUCAGGAACCAUGGGAGACGCAGACAAACAAGACACAAUCACUGCUCUCCAGAAACUUACAGUGUAAACUGGAGGCUUCAUGGUCCCCACCUGGAUCUAAACUGGCACAUCUUUCAUGUGUUUAUAUUUUGGAGUCCCACAAAACACUUUUUGAAUAAAGGGCUCCAUUUUGUUAAAAAAAAAAAAAAUUGACAACUCUGAUCAAGUAAAUAAGAAAGCUGUUUUCUAGGUGUAGAGUUUCCCCUUUUUAAGAUUAGAAGGAAAUUUAGAUGCAAGGAAUUGAGAAUUUACAUUUUUAGAUGUGUUCCUAUUUCUUUGGAUUUCAUUUUAGUUCUCCCUCACCAGUUGCCUUUUAGCACCUAAUAGGCAAUCUGUAGCAAUGUACAGAUGUUAUACAAUAAUAGAAGUGCUCAUUCUUCCCUAUACACUGCAAUAUAUUUGCUACCAUCCAGAAAAAGGUUCUACAUAUAUCCUUUCUAAAGUUACUAUGAAGUAUCUUCAGGAUCUAUACUUCACGAUGGUUAUUCUAAGGUGUUUAAUCAAAACCACUACCUAAUUUCUCUAUAGCAUGUGGAAUUUAACAUCCCAUUUUCAAAAUAGAAUGGUUUAAAAUUAAUUGACUUAAGAUGCUGCAGACCCACAUACAGUGACUCUUCUAUGAGGUUUACAGGAAAAAUGAGCCAAAAGACAUAUAGGUACGGUAUUCUUUAUUAUAAACAAUCAGGUAACAGUGUAAGUGUGCAUUUGAUGGAUAACCGAAGCCAAGUUAUAAUAGAAAGCAUGACUUCACUCAAAUAGAAAGUUUCUUUGUUGUUGUUGACCUGUUUUACAUUAAUUUGAAUUUAACAUAUGCUAGGAUCACCUAAACUUGUCAUACAGUUCUGCUAUUAAAAUCCUAACAGGGAAAGACAAAAUGUGAAAUGCAUGUUAUAGUUUGUUUUAUUUGUUGAAUAUAUAUAUAUAUAUACACACACACUAAAUAUUUGGGACACAUUCAAAGUUAAGCAGGUGCUUAGAGUCUAUCAAGUGAUAUUUAUGAAAUGUUUUUGUUGCUGUUUUGUUGCUGUUAUGGGAACAUCCAUAUCCUCAGAAGACAAUAAAAAAGAGGAUGGUUGGCUAACUUUUCCUGAUUUAUACUGAGUGUAAAACAAAACAAAACAAAACAUAAGGUAUAUGUGUUAAGUAGUGACAUCUUUAUAGUUCCAAAACAGUGGCAACUAUUAAAAUAUCAUCCAGCUAAAACAAACUUUUCACAAUUUUUUAACAGAAAAAUAAUAAACCAACAACAAAAACUGGUAAAUGUUCUGGGUGUUGUUGAGCAGACCAAAAUGUUACUACAGUGUUCUCUGUUGUGUGAUCCUUGUCCGUGGCAACCUUAAAUAUGUGCCACAGUGCUCAUGUUUAGAGGCUUAGCUGUCUGCUUCAAUAGUUAUCCUGGAAAGAAUGCUAUUCGGUUUUUUCUUUUAUUGUCUACAUCAAGGAAUGAGUGCUAAAUGAGCACAUUUAGAAGCCUGAAAUCAAAUACUGCAUUCAUUUUUUGAAACUCUUGGUAGCAAAAGAAAAAGCUGAUUGAAAUAUGAUUAUGUUACAUGACUAAGGGGUUAACUUCUCAUCACUUCUAAAUUCUUCAAAUUUUACAAGCAUCUUAAUAGAGGCUUUUGAUGAGACAUGACUGGUGAUGAUCAUAUGUGCCAAUUUAGUAAUUUAUUUGUCACAGAAAAUUCAGGUUCACUGCAAAAUUGUGUUCUGGCUUCCCAAAGCUGCAGGGAAAUAACAAGUUUUUUGUUGCUUGAUUUUUGUUUAGAGGCAGGGUGUCACUUUGUCACCCAGGCUAGAAUGCAGUCAUGUGAUCAUAGUUCACUACAGCCUCAAACUCCUGGGCUCAGGUGAUCCUCCCACCUUGGCCUCCCACAGUGCUGGGACUACAGGAAUGAGCCACUGCAUCCAGAUUGUUUUUUGUUUUUAAUGUCAUUUAUGAGCCACCAGUUUAGAUUAAUUCUGUAAAGGUAUAAGAUUACCAGAGGAGGCCGGGCGCGGUGGCUCACGCCUGUAAUCCCAGCACUUUGGGAGGCUGAGGCAGGUGGAUCAUGAGGUCAAGAGAUAAAGACCAUUCUGGCUAACAUGGUGAAACCCCAUCUCCACUAAAAAUACAAAAAUUAACUAGGCGUGGAAGCCCACGCCUGUAGUCCCAGCUACUUGGGAGGCUGAGGCAGGAGAAUCGCUCGAACCCGGGAGGCAGAGGUUGCAGCGAGCCGAGAUCGCACCGCUGCACUCCGGCCUGGCGACAGAGCAAGACUCUGUCUCAAAAAAAAAAAAGAUUACCAGAGGAUAAGUUCGAUAGCUGGUAGAGAGAUCAUGAAAGCUAUGUUUGAUCUCUGGAGCAAAAGCUGUGUUGAAGUUCUCCCAUGGAAUGGUUCCCAUAUGAGACUCACCAUAUUAAUGCCUUUUCCAAGAGAAGGGGAGACAGAGAAUUAUUGGAAAAUAGGGAAGCAAGGAGAGGAACAAAACCCACUUUGAGACAUGGAAGAAAAGUAGCAUUUACACAAGGAACCAUUACCUGACUCUGCAGAAGAGCAAGGAAAUAAAAAUUUCAAAACAGAGAUAAGAAAUCAAUUACAUUCUUUCAAGCUAAAGACAGAUUGCAUUGUUUUGUUUUAAAAGUUCUGAAACAUGAUGAUGUCUGUACAAACAGAUUCACUAUUAGAUUCUUGGCUCCAUGAGGGCUGGGACUGUCUUCUAUUUACAUUUGAUUCUACAGUUCCUAACAUUGUACCUGACACCUAUAGGUAGGUACACAAUACAUAGUUGAUGAACCAAUCAACUACAGAUUUUUCUAAACACUACAUGAGCCACAUAUUACGUUUUUCAAUGUAAAGUGUAAUAAUUCUUUUCUAUUGUGUAUGUAUGAAAGUUUCUAUUAGAUAACACUAGUCAUUAUAAGAGGUGACAGUAGUAGCUCAAUCAUAUAACUUUCUCACAUGAUCAUUUCUACCUUGAAUACAAUUUAAUUAGAAAAACUACCAUGUGCACUAAUGCUAGAAAGAGUUGAGCUAAAAUGUAUACAUGAAGAAACUUCUUGGAUUACUGAAGUGCUGUCUGUUACAAGCAUAACUGCUAUCUUAAAUUGUAUAUUUUUAAAGAGGGUGUGAAAUAUUUUUCCAAGCAAUGUAGUGUUUAGUGCAUGGCAAGUAUGUGUAUGAAAGUACCUGGAAAUCUGGGGAUUUUCCUCCCUCAUCUAAAGUAAAAUAAGAACAUGUUUUUAAUAUUGUGUAUAUUUUUAAAAGAUGUAUUAUUAUUCAUUACCACUGUUCCCCAGAAAUUAUAGACGAUUAUGAAAUUAUUAUCACUUUACUUGGGAAUUUAUUUCCAGCUAUGAGACUUCAGAUAAUCACUGGAGACACUAGGUUAAAUAACUCAUUGAUCCAAUAAUGUGUCUAGAUCUUCUCAAAGUCUUUACUGUUGAUUCAGUAAUCUGCAAAGAGUUAAUAUUUGCCAAGAGGCAAGAAAACGUGGCAAAAGAGUGUCCUUCCCAGGAGACUGGAACGUGGGAAAUGAGAAAGUGUAAGUCGACGUGUGACACUUUUCUCCAACCUUUGCUUUCACCUGCUUCUUGACACCAGACUGAAACAAGUGCUAUUCUGGCACGCUGCGCAGACUCGAAGUUUGCAGGACGGCAUGACAUGAACAACCAGGACAACAGGAGCCUGGUCUCCUCUGUGGAAAGCAGGAGUCUCCCUGGGUGGCUCUUGGAGCAAGUUCUGGUCUUAUCUUGUAAUUUGGGAAACAGCAUUUCAUGCUAUCUUCGUAUUUAUUUUCCCAUAUUAGACUCUGUUUUUACAGCGGUAGACUGAGGGAACAUGACUUUCGGCUUCACAGUUUUUUUUUUUCUUUUCCGAUCACAGUUUGUUUAAAAUGUACCACUGAAUAUGAACACAGGAGCCCAGCUACAGGUAUGUCAACCUUAGAAAUAAAGUUUCUACAGAUUAUCUCAUUAA
Molecule: non-coding RNA, 10341 nt
Organism: Macaca mulatta (Rhesus monkey)
Lineage: Eukaryota; Metazoa; Chordata; Mammalia; Primates; Cercopithecidae
Source: RefSeq, a predicted model, not a curated record